AAAUCUUUAAAAAAUGUUCCCUAAUGUUUAUUGCUGAAGUGUGUCUUAUAAUCAUAACAAGAACCACAAGGCUGGCCCAGCCACAACAUUGGCUGCAAGGGGGAAAUGUCUGUGGGGUGUCCACAGGUAGAAUGGGCCAAGGUGAGUGUCCCAGUGAUACAAGACAAGCACCUGCACAUAG
Molecule: long non-coding RNA, 181 nt
Organism: Phyllostomus discolor (pale spear-nosed bat)
Lineage: Eukaryota; Metazoa; Chordata; Mammalia; Chiroptera; Phyllostomidae
Exons: 3
Source: RefSeq, a predicted model, not a curated record